Molecule: ribosomal RNA, 402 nt
Filed under: uncultured bacterium
Lineage: Bacteria
Description: bacterial SSU rRNA
Rfam family: Bacterial small subunit ribosomal RNA
Source: RNAcentral
UAAGAGGGGGAGUAACAUCCGGAAACGGGUGCUAAUACCGCAUAGUUUUCUUGAUCGCAUGAUCGGGAAAGGAAAGACGGCCUUUGUGCUGUCGCUUAUGGAUGGACCCGCGGCGUAUUAGUUAGUUGGUGAGGUAACGGCUCACCAAGACGAUGAUACGUAGCCGACCUGAGAGGGUGAUCGGCCACAUUGGGACUGAGACACGGCCCAAACUCCUACGGGAGGCAGCAGUAGGGAAUCUUCCGCAAUGGACGAAAGUCUGACGGAGCAACGCCGCGUGAGUGAAGAAGGUUUUCGGAUCGUAAAACUCUGUUGUCAGAGAAGAACAAGUUGGAGAGUAACUGCUCCGGCCUUGACGGUAUCUGACCAGAAAGCCACGGCUAACUACGUGCCAGCCGCCGC